GUGCUCGCUUCAGCAGUACAUAUACUAAAAUUGGAAUGAUAUAGAGAAGAUUAAUGAACAUGGCCCCUGCACAAGGAUGGCAUGCAAAUUCGUGAAUAUUCCAUAUUUUU
Small nuclear RNA from Lontra canadensis (Northern American river otter), 110 nucleotides. The record is from RefSeq and is a predicted model, not a curated record. Lineage: Eukaryota; Metazoa; Chordata; Mammalia; Carnivora; Mustelidae.